UACAGAGACUGCAAGCGUUAUUCGGAUUCACUGGGCGUAAAGGGCGCGUAGGCGGCAAUUCAAGUCAGCUGUGAAAUCUCCGGGCUUAACUCGGAACGGUCAAGUGAUACUGUCGGACUAGAGUACAGAAGGGGCAACUGGAAUUCUCGGUGUAGCGGUGAAAUGCGUAGAUAUCGAGAGGAACACCUGCGGCGAAGGCGGGUAGCUGGGCCGACACUGACGCUGAGGCGCGAAAGCCAGGGGAGCGAACGGG
This 253-nucleotide ribosomal RNA is filed under the name uncultured bacterium. RNAcentral's name for it is "partial 16S ribosomal RNA". It matches the Rfam family "Bacterial small subunit ribosomal RNA", at positions 524 to 776 of the family's 1533-position model. The record is from RNAcentral.